Molecule: antisense RNA, 77 nt
Filed under: Klebsiella ornithinolytica
Lineage: Bacteria; Pseudomonadati; Pseudomonadota; Gammaproteobacteria; Enterobacterales; Enterobacteriaceae
Description: Raoultella ornithinolytica SymR antitoxin
Rfam family: SymR antitoxin
Source: RNAcentral
AGUCAUAAUUGCUAUUCUCGCUUAAUAGUGAUUGUGAUGAGCAGGACGCCCGUGUUGCUGCACGGGCGUCUUGCGUU